Molecule: ribosomal RNA, 424 nt
Filed under: Edwardsiella ictaluri
Lineage: Bacteria; Pseudomonadati; Pseudomonadota; Gammaproteobacteria; Enterobacterales; Hafniaceae
Description: bacterial SSU rRNA
Rfam family: Bacterial small subunit ribosomal RNA
Source: RNAcentral
GCGGUAGCAGGGAGAAAGCUUGCUUUCUCCGCUGACGAGCGGCGGACGGGUGAGUAAUGUCUGGGGAUCUGCCUGAUGGAGGGGGAUAACUACUGGAAACGGUAGCUAAUACCGCAUAACGUCGCAAGACCAAAGUGGGGGACCUUCGGGCCUCAUGCCAUCAGAUGAACCCAGAUGGGAUUAGCUAGUAGGUGGGGUAAUGGCUCACCUAGGCGACGAUCCCUAGCUGGUCUGAGAGGAUGACCAGCCACACUGGAACUGAGACACGGUCCAGACUCCUACGGGAGGCAGCAGUGGGGAAUAUUGCACAAUGGGCGCAAGCCUGAUGCAGCCAUGCCGCGUGUAUGAAGAAGGCCUUCGGGUUGUAAAGUACUUUCAGUAGGGAGGAAGGUGUGAGCGUUAAUAGCGUUCACAAUUGACGUUA